GACGAACGCUGGCGGCGUGCCUAACACAUGCAAGUGGAGCGACGAACCAGGGCUUGCCCUGGGGCCAAGCCGCGAACGGGUGAGUAACACGUGGGUAACCUGCCCCGAUGACCGGGACAACCCGAGGAAACUCGGGCUAAUACCGGAUGUGGUGGACACACUUAAGUGUGUCCACUAGAGGAAGCUUCGGCCUCCGCAUUGGGAUGGGCCCGCGGCCCAUUAGCUAGUUGGUGGGGUAAAGGCCUACCAAGGCAACGAUGGGUAGCUGGUCUGAGAGGACGAUCAGCCACACUGGGACUGAGACACGGCCCAGACUCCUACGGGAGGCAGCAGUGGGGAAUCUUGCGCAAUGCGCGAAAGCGUGACGCAGCAACGCCGCGUGAGGGAAGACGGCCU
Molecule: ribosomal RNA, 396 nt
Filed under: uncultured bacterium
Lineage: Bacteria
Description: bacterial SSU rRNA
Rfam family: Bacterial small subunit ribosomal RNA
Source: RNAcentral